GGUCUUCAGCUCCGAGACCUGGCCGGACUUGACGUUCCUCAGCCGGACGUGGGUCACGCCGGGCGGGCUGUCGGUGCCGCAGAUCUCCUCGAUGGCGGAGUCCCAGACGACCUCGACGUUCGGCUGCUUGAAGAGCCGGUCCUGCAGGA
RNAcentral lists this unclassified non-coding RNA (149 nucleotides) under plant metagenome. RNAcentral describes it as "partial contains 5.8S ribosomal RNA, internal transcribed spacer 2, and large subunit ribosomal RNA". The record is from RNAcentral.